This 293-nucleotide ribosomal RNA is filed under the name uncultured bacterium. Its description in RNAcentral is "partial 16S ribosomal RNA". It matches the Rfam family "Bacterial small subunit ribosomal RNA", at positions 775 to 1067 of the family's 1533-position model. The record is from RNAcentral.
GGAUUAGAUACCCUGGUAGUCCACGCCGUAAACGAUGUCGACUAGCCGUUGGGACCCUUGAGGUCUUAGUGGCGCAGCUAACGCGUUAAGUCGACCGCCUGGGGAGUACGGUCGCAAGAUUAAAACUCAAAUGAAUUGACGGGGGCCCGCACAAGCGGUGGAGCAUGUGGUUUAAUUCGAAGCAACGCGAAGAACCUUACCUGGUCUUGACAUCCAGAGAAUUCGGCAGAGAUGCCUUAGUGCCUUCGGGAACUCUGAGACAGGUGCUGCAUGGCUGUCGUCAGCUCGUGCCG